Non-coding RNA from Otolemur garnettii (small-eared galago), 87 nucleotides. The record is from Rfam. Lineage: Eukaryota; Metazoa; Chordata; Mammalia; Primates; Galagidae.
GGCUCUGUGGCGCAAUGGAUAGCGCAUUGGACUUCUAGUGACGAAAAAGCGAUUCAAAGGUUGUGGGUUCGAAUCCCACCAGAGUCG